Molecule: unclassified non-coding RNA, 261 nt
Filed under: Hevea brasiliensis (rubber tree)
Lineage: Eukaryota; Viridiplantae; Streptophyta; Magnoliopsida; Malpighiales; Euphorbiaceae
Source: RNAcentral
GUGUCAACUUCAUAAAGCUCGUUACACAGAUCCCUGGCUAGUUUAGCAUGAGCAGACUCCUGAGCAAACUGCAUAUUCAGUUGGGCUUCAGCUUCCUCCUCUUCUCGUCUUUUUUCCUCCUCAUUAACUUUUGGCAGAAGUUGUAUCCAUUUCUCCUCAAAUUUUUCCAGUAAUGUUUUCGCCAUCAGAUGAACAUCACUCUUGUCAUCAUUGUACUUCAUUGCAUUCUUGAACACCAGCCUAACAUCAGCACUGAUCUCU